AACGCGAAGAACCUUACCUGGGCUCGAAGCGCAGUGGAAUGGGGUGGAAACAUCCCCGCCCGCAAGGGCCGCUGCGGAGGUGCUGCAUGGCUGUCGUCAGCUCGUGUCGUGAGAUGUUGGGUUAAGUCCCGCAACGAGCGCAACCCUUAUCGUUAGUUGCCAGCGAGUCAAGUCGGGCACUCUAGCGAAACCGCCUCGGAUAACGGGGAGGAAGGUGGGGAUGACGUCAAGUCCUCAUGGCCUUUAUGUCCAGGGCUACACACGUGCUACAAUGGCCGGUACAAACCGUCGCAAACCCGCGAGGGGGAGCUAAUCGGAAAAAGCCGGCCUCAGUUCGGAUUGGAGUCUGCAACUCGACUCCAUGAAGCUGGAAUCGCUAGUAAUCGCGGAUCAGCACGCCGCGGUGAAUACGUUCCCGGGCCUUGUACACACCGAUACUC
This 440-nucleotide ribosomal RNA is filed under the name uncultured bacterium. Its description in RNAcentral is "bacterial SSU rRNA". It matches the Rfam family "Bacterial small subunit ribosomal RNA", at positions 958 to 1398 of the family's 1533-position model. The record is from RNAcentral.